Molecule: unclassified non-coding RNA, 378 nt
Filed under: plant metagenome
Description: partial contains 5.8S ribosomal RNA, internal transcribed spacer 2, and large subunit ribosomal RNA
Rfam family: 5.8S ribosomal RNA (bases 1-105)
Source: RNAcentral
GAAAUGCGAUAAGUAAUGUGAAUUGCAGAAUUCAGUGAAUCAUCGAAUCUUUGAACGCACCUUGCGCUCCUUGGUAUUCCUUGGAGCAUGCCUGUUUGAGUAUCAUGAAAUCUUCAAAGUAAAUCUUUUGUUAACUCAAUUGGUUUCUACUUUGGUAUUGGAGGUCUUUGCAGCUUCACACCUGCUCCUCUUUGUUCAUUAGCUGGAUCGCAGUGUUAUGCUUGGUUCCACUCGGCGUGAUAAGUUAUCUAUCGCUGAGGACACUGUAAAAGGUGGCCAAGGUAAAUGCAGAUGAACCGCUUCUAAUAGUCCAUUGACUUGGACAAUACUUUUAUGAUCUGAUCUCAAAUCAGGUAGGACUACCCGCUGAACUUAAGC